UAUCUCUGUAGAGUCUGCAUAUCAAUAAGCGGAGGAAAAGAAACUAACUAGGAUUCCCUCAGUAACGGCGAGUGAAGCGGGAAGAGCUCAAAUUUGAAAUCUUCAAGGUUUUACCUUGACGAAUUGUAGUUUAAAGAAGUGUUUUCUGUUGGAAGUUCUGGUAAAAGUUCUUUGGAAUAGGACAUCAUAGAGGGUGAGAAUCCCGUACUUGACCAUUAUUUCCAACUUUGUGAUACACUUUCAAAGAGUCGGAUUGUUUGGGAAUGCAGUCCAAAAUGGGUGGUAAAUUUCAUCUAAAGCUAAAUACUGGCGAGAGACCGAUAGCGAACAAGUACCGUGAGGGAAAGAUGAAAAGAACUUUGAAAAGAGAGUUAAACAGUACGUGAAAUUGUCAAAAGGGAAGCGUUUGACACCAGUGUUGUUUUCUCGAAAAUCAAUUAAAAAAGAUUGGAUUUUGUGUUGUAUUGACUUUAUCAGCUUUCUGCACUCUUUUCUUGUCUUUUUUAAUGCACUUUUCGUUUAACAAGUCAACAUCAAUUUCUUUUGUUGUAAAAGGGUCAUUGGAAGGUGGCUUUCUUUUCGGAGAAAGUGUUUAUAGCCUUUGGCCUCUGCAAUCGGAGAGAUUGAGGUCUGCAGCGUAGAUCCUUCGGGGUUAGAUACAUUUGUGCUAAGUUAUAGCCUUUCAUAGACAACUUGUUGGCUAUGAUCAGUCAUGUAGCUUACUCGCUUAUGCUAUUUUACCUACGCUUAGGAUGUUGAGUAGCGACAUACGCAC
RNAcentral lists this ribosomal RNA (775 nucleotides) under uncultured Neocallimastigales. RNAcentral describes it as "partial large subunit ribosomal RNA". It matches the Rfam family "Eukaryotic large subunit ribosomal RNA", at positions 24 to 649 of the family's 3401-position model. The record is from RNAcentral. Lineage: Eukaryota; Fungi; Neocallimastigomycota; Neocallimastigomycetes; Neocallimastigales.